This 901-nucleotide ribosomal RNA is filed under the name uncultured bacterium. RNAcentral describes it as "bacterial SSU rRNA". It matches the Rfam family "Bacterial small subunit ribosomal RNA", at positions 1 to 915 of the family's 1533-position model. The record is from RNAcentral.
CCCUUAGAGUUUGAUCCUGGCUCAGAUUGAACGCUGGCGGCAUGCCUUACACAUGCAAGUCGAACGGCAGCGCGGGGCAACCUGGCGGCGAGUGGCGAACGGGUGAGUAAUAUAUCGGAACGUACCCUGGAGUGGGGGAUAACGUAGCGAAAGUUACGCUAAUACCGCAUACGAUCUAAGGAUGAAAGUGGGGGAUCGCAAGACCUCAUGCUCCUGGAGCGGCCGAUAUCUGAUUAGCUAGUUGGUGGGGUAAAGGCCUACCAAGGCAUCGAUCAGUAGCUGGUCUGAGAGGACGACCAGCCACACUGGAACUGAGACACGGUCCAGACUCCUACGGGAGGCAGCAGUGGGGAAUUUUGGACAAUGGGCGAAAGCCUGAUCCAGCAAUGCCGCGUGAGUGAAGAAGGCCUUCGGGUUGUAAAGCUCUUUUGUCAGGGAAGAAACGGUGAGGGCUAAUAUCCUUUGCUAAUGACGGUACCUGAAGAAUAAGCACCGGCUAACUACGUGCCAGCAGCCGCGGUAAUACGUAGGGUGCAAGCGUUAAUCGGAAUUACUGGGCGUAAAGCGUGCGCAGGCGGUUUUGUAAGUCUGUCGUGAAAUCCCCGGGCUCAACCUGGGAAUUGCGAUGGAGACUGCAAGGCUAGAAUCUGGCAGAGGGGGGUAGAAUCCCACGUGUAGCAGUGAAAUGCGUAGAGAUGUGGAGGAACACCGAUGGCGAAGGCAGCCCCCUGGGUCAAGAUUGACGCUCAUGCACGAAAGCGUGGGGAGCAAACAGAUUAGAUACCCUGGUAGUCCACGCCCUAACGAUGUCUACUAGUUGUCGGGUUUAAUUACUGGUACGCAGCUAACGCGUGAAGUAGACGGCUGGGGAGUACGUCGCAGAUAAACUCAAAGAUUGACG